This 497-nucleotide ribosomal RNA is filed under the name uncultured bacterium. RNAcentral's name for it is "partial 16S ribosomal RNA". It matches the Rfam family "Bacterial small subunit ribosomal RNA", at positions 28 to 507 of the family's 1533-position model. The record is from RNAcentral.
GAUGAACGCUGGCGGCGUGCCUAAUACAUGCAAGUCGAGCGAACAGACGAGGAGCUUGCUCCUCUGACGUUAUCGGCGGACGGGUGAGUAACACGUGGAUAACCUACCUAUAAGACUGGGAUAAAUUCGGGAAACCGGAGCUAAUGACGGAUAAUAUAUUGAACCGCAUGGUGCAAUAGUUAAAUACGGUUUUGCUGUCGCUUAUAGAUGGAUCCGCGCCGCAUUAGCUAGUUGGUAAGGUAACGGCUUACCAAGGCAACGAUGCGUAACCGCCCUGAGAGGGUGAUCGGCCACACGGGAACUGAGACACGGCCCAGACUCCUACGGGAGGCAGCAGUAGGGAAUCUUCCGGGAUGGGCGAGAGCCUGAUGGAGCACCGCCGCCUGAGUGAUGAUGGUCUUCGGCUCGUAAAGCUCUGUUAUUAGGGAAGAACAAAUGUGUAAGUACCUAUGCACGUAUUGACGGUACCUAAUCAGAAAGCCACGGCUAACUACGUG